Molecule: ribosomal RNA, 691 nt
Filed under: Salmonella enterica subsp. enterica serovar Infantis
Lineage: Bacteria; Pseudomonadati; Pseudomonadota; Gammaproteobacteria; Enterobacterales; Enterobacteriaceae
Also listed under: 2 other names
Description: partial 23S ribosomal RNA
Rfam family: Bacterial large subunit ribosomal RNA
Source: RNAcentral
CCCAGACAGCCAGGAUGUUGGCUUAGAAGCAGCCAUCAUUUAAAGAAAGCGUAAUAGCUCACUGGUCGAGUCGGCCUGCGCGGAAGAUGUAACGGGGCUAAACCAUGCACCGAAGCUGCGGCAGCGAACGUAUCACUUAAAGCGAUUCAGCGGGUUACGAUUGACGGAGCGAAGCGACGUCAAAGCGUAUACAAAGUCGAGUCGGUUUAAGGAUACGUUCGUUGGGUAGGGGAGCGUUCUGUAAGCCUGCGAAGGUGGCCUGUGAGGGUUGCUGGAGGUAUCAGAAGUGCGAAUGCUGACAUAAGUAACGAUAAAGCGGGUGAAAAGCCCGCUCGCCGGAAGACCAAGGGUUCCUGUCCAACGUUAAUCGGGGCAGGGUGAGUCGACCCCUAAGGCGAGGCCGAAAGGCGUAGUCGAUGGGAAACGGGUUAAUAUUCCCGUACUUGGUGUUACUGCGAAGGGGGGACGGAGAAGGCUAUGUUGGCCGGGCGACGGUUGUCCCGGUUUAAGCGUGUAGGUGUGUGUUCCAGGUAAAUCCGGUUCACUUUAACACUGAGGCGUGACGACGAGGCACUACGGUGCUGAAGCAACAAAUGCCCUGCUUCCAGGAAAAGCCUCUAAGCAUCAGGUAACAUCAAAUCGUACCCCAAACCGACACAGGUGGUCAGGUAGAGAAUACCAAGGCGCUUGA